GUGAAUCAUCAAAUUUUUGAACGCAAAUUGCGCUUCCUGGCAUCCCGGGGAGUAUGCCUGUUUGAGGGUCAGUAUUAUUAAAAAAGCGGUUUAUGUACAAAUUGUGACGUUUCCGGAGUUUGGGCGAUCUUAACAUUUUUGGGUAAGAGGCUUAAAAUUGACCUUUUUUGCGCAGUUUUAAACUAACAUAAAUUUUUUUUAUUCGUCU
This 208-nucleotide unclassified non-coding RNA is filed under the name Glomeraceae sp. Its description in RNAcentral is "partial contains 5.8S ribosomal RNA and internal transcribed spacer 2". The stretch from base 1 to 71 matches the Rfam family "5.8S ribosomal RNA", at positions 84 to 154 of the family's 154-position model. Lineage: Eukaryota; Fungi; Glomeromycota; Glomeromycetes; Glomerales; Glomeraceae. The record is from RNAcentral.